Long non-coding RNA from Harmonia axyridis, 861 nucleotides. RefSeq lists it as uncharacterized. The record is from RefSeq and is a predicted model, not a curated record. NCBI's taxonomy places the organism in Eukaryota, Metazoa, Arthropoda, Insecta, Coleoptera, Coccinellidae. The transcript has 4 exons.
CUACCCAGGGUUCCCAACGGAGAAAUAUUGAGUUUACUAGAAAAAUACCGUACCGAUUAUCAGUAUGAAAAAUUGAACUGAAGAUAAAAUCCAGGAAAUAUGGGUAGAUAUCAAUAUAGUGGAGGCAGUCGUUGUUGUGUCAGUAAUUGUUCAGCAAGAAAUAGAUGUAAAAAUGAAAAAACUGACACCAAAAUAUUCUCUACAAAAUGUAAUGGCAAAAUACUAAAAUUCUGUCUGAAACAUCUCCAAGAUUAUCAGGCUCUAAAAAAAGAAGAGGUCAAUUCAUCCAAUGAUUCGACCAAUGCUAGCUACAAGGUUGGAGGUAAAUCCGUAGAAAACUCUUUUCAAUAAGUACUUUUGACAUAUUGUCACCCCCAGUAAAACAAUUGUAGCACCAAUUAUAAGGAAUGAAAUAUGGAACUUCUGAGAGAGAAAUAAUUUUAAAUAGUGGCUUACUGGAAAAGCUGGAACCAGGGGACUCAGUAAUGGCUGAUAAGGGGUUCAUAUUUCCAAAGAACUUGCAGAUAUUGAUGUUGAUUUGAAUAUACCACCAUUUUCAUAUGGCAAUAAUCAACAAUUCACUGACGCAGAUGAAACUCUGACUAGGGAUAUUGCAAGUGUUCGUGUUCAUGUUGAGAGAAUUAUAAGAAAUGUGAAAUUAAACAGAAUAUUGCGCUGUAGCAUUCCAAAUACUAUGGCUGACCAAUUGAACCAAAUUUGGGUGGUGUGUUGCCAUCUGACAAAUUUUAGAAAAAAACCCCUGUUGGAUAUAAAAAUCAAGAAAAAAUAGAAGAACAGGAGAUUAUAAGUUCAUUUCAGAUGUAUAUUAUUUGUAUUUUUGUUAUAAAAUAUUUAUGAAAA